CUACGGGAUGCUCCAGUGAGGAAUAUUGCACAAUGGGGGGAACCCUGAUGCAGCAACGCCGCGUGGAGGAUGACGCAUUUCGGUGUGUAAACUCCUUUUAUAUGUCAAGAAAAUGACGGUAACAUAUGAAUAAGCACCGGCUAACUCCGUGCCAGCAGCCGCGGUAAUACGGAGGGUGCAAGCGUUACUCGGAAUCACUGGGCGUAAAGGACGCGUAGGCGGGUUGGAAAGUCAGGUGUGAAAUCCUACAGCUUAACUGUAGAACUGCACUUGAAACUUCUAAUCUAGAGUAUGGGAGGGGGAGAUGGAAUUAGUGGUGUAGGGGUAGAAUCCGUAGAUAUCACUAGGAAUACCUAAAGCGAAGGCGAUCUCCUGGAACAUUACUGACGCUAAGGCGUGAAAGCGUGGGGAGCAAACAGGAUUAGAUACCCCUGUAGUC
RNAcentral lists this ribosomal RNA (439 nucleotides) under uncultured bacterium. RNAcentral describes it as "partial 16S ribosomal RNA". It matches the Rfam family "Bacterial small subunit ribosomal RNA", at positions 339 to 795 of the family's 1533-position model. The record is from RNAcentral.